CCUACGGGCGGCAGCAGUGAGGAAUAUUGGUCAAUGGACGAGAGUCUGAACCCGCCAAGUAGCGUGAAGGAUGACUGCCCUAUGGGUUGUAAACUUCUUUUAUAUGGGAAUAAAAUGUUCCACGUGUGGGAUUUUGUAUGUACCAUAUGAAUAAGGAUCGGCUAACUCCGUGCCAGCAGCCGCGGUAAUACGGAGGAUCCGAGCGUUAGCCGGAUUUAUUGGGUUUAAAGGGAGCGUAGGUGGAUUGUUAAGUCAGUUGUGAAAGUUUGCGGCUCAACCGUAGAAUUGCAGUUGAAACUGGCAGGCUUGAGUACAGUAGAGGUGGGCGGAAUUCGUGGUGUAGCGGUGAAAUGCUUAGAUAUGACGAAGAACACCGAUUGCGAAGGCAGCUCACUGGACUGCAACUGACACUGAGGCUCGAAAGUGUGGGUAUCAAACAGGAUUAGAUACCCGGGUAGUC
RNAcentral lists this ribosomal RNA (460 nucleotides) under uncultured bacterium. RNAcentral describes it as "partial 16S ribosomal RNA". It matches the Rfam family "Bacterial small subunit ribosomal RNA", at positions 338 to 795 of the family's 1533-position model. The record is from RNAcentral.